UAGAACAUAUUUGACUGGCGAGUUUCAGAGCGCGAAGGCACUCGCAAGCGGUAUUCCGAUCAUCAAUGGCUACUUAUCGAUCUCGCAUUGAACGACUUCGUUGAUGCCGAGGGAAUCGUAAGUAAGUCGAGGUUUGCAGUAGAAGAAUACGCCGUCCGAUUGCCUUCCGGCGGUCGUACUCGAGAUCUCUUCAUUCAUUCUCCCGGUAACGCUAUCAUUUCUUCUUACGGUGCGAAGGAUUCAUCUGAUUUUGAUAAUUUAUUCUGUUUUCCAGUGUUUGCGUAGAAAAUUUCUCCUAUGUAUGUUAAUUUUCUUGCGGAGUUGGCCGUAUGAGCUGCUUGAUUAUUUUCAGGGUCUUUUGAUGGAAGGACUUGCCAGCCAAGGAAAAUGAGAUGGUAUACCCUUGUACAACCUGCAAAAACGAAAUGGUUACUACAAAAACACAGAUUGUACGAGCAGGCAGCAAGCUGUGCAAUUAAAUACAGAGACGAUACAGAAGACGAUCAUAGAGUGAGCUUUUACCCAAGGGCACCUUCAGAUUUGACAAAUUUGGGAAGGCCAUCAGACAGACCUCUGGCAAAACCUGGCUGAGUUUGAACUAACUUUAACAGCUUCAAAGGGGCAAAGAGCAACAUCUGCAAUCACUUCAGCAGAUGUAGAGUCAGAAAGAUAGAUCAAUGUCUUGUGCUUCGCUGCAUACUUGGGACCAAUUUAUAUCUGAAUAGUAUUUCUUAAAGAAUUCAUACUUA
Molecule: long non-coding RNA, 749 nt
Organism: Cucurbita moschata (crookneck pumpkin)
Lineage: Eukaryota; Viridiplantae; Streptophyta; Magnoliopsida; Cucurbitales; Cucurbitaceae
Exons: 3
Source: RefSeq, a predicted model, not a curated record